GACGAACGCUGGCGGCGUGCCUAAUACAUGCAAGUCGAACGAACCGCGACUGAGUGCUUGCACUUGGUCAAGGUGAGUGGCGAACGGGUGAGUAACACGUGGGUAACCUACCUCAUAGUGGGGGAUAACAGUCGGAAACGACUGCUAAUACCGCAUAGGACAUGGAAUCACAUGAUUCUGUGAGGAAGGGUGGCGCAAGCUAUCGCUAAGAGAUGGACCCGCGGUGCAUUAGCUAGUUGGUAGGGUAACGGCCUACCAAGGCGAUGAUGCAUAGCCGACCUGAGAGGGUGAUCGGCCACAUUGGGACUGAGACACGGCCCAAACUCCUACGGGAGGCAGCAGUAGGGAAUCUUCCGCAAUGGACGCAAGUCUGACGGAGCAACGCCGCGUGAGUGAAGAAGGUCUUCGGAUCGUAAAGCUCUGUUGUUAGAGAAGAACAGCGCAUAGAGUAAACUGUUAUGCGUGGG
RNAcentral lists this ribosomal RNA (467 nucleotides) under Abiotrophia defectiva. Its description in RNAcentral is "bacterial SSU rRNA". It matches the Rfam family "Bacterial small subunit ribosomal RNA", at positions 28 to 471 of the family's 1533-position model. Lineage: Bacteria; Bacillati; Bacillota; Bacilli; Lactobacillales; Aerococcaceae. The record is from RNAcentral.